This is a long non-coding RNA of Dromaius novaehollandiae (emu), 1331 nucleotides long. RefSeq lists it as uncharacterized. The record is from RefSeq and is a predicted model, not a curated record. NCBI's taxonomy places the organism in Eukaryota, Metazoa, Chordata, Aves, Casuariiformes, Dromaiidae. The transcript has 3 exons.
UGCAGUAUGUGCAGGUCGCAAAUUGAAACGUUAUGGACCCAUGACUGCCACACCAACAGCCUGCACUAAAAUAAAUAAAUAAAUAAGCAAAUGAAGAGGUAUAUGCCCUUUCACCUAACAUAGCCUUAAACGCAGGAAAAUAAUUAACAGCAGCGUGCCAAUUUUAGAUGUGUAAUCAUUGAGGUGGAUGGCAGAAGAAAAAGCAGGGGCGGACAGAAACAGAGACUCAAAAGGAAAAAAAAUCAGAAUUAACGCUCCCCUCUGGCAACAACGGUGCUCGCCACCAGGUUAAAACGUCCUGAAGAAGCCAAAAGCCGCGUUACACCACCCAACUCCCGGGUCAGGGCUGGGCUAACCGGGCUCCGCGGCACCCCGGCGCCUGUGCCAGCCCGGCGGAGCAUCCGGAGCAGAGAGAAAAACAGGCGGCAGAUUGAAAGCUUCAUGGACUAUCAUCGCCAUCAGCAGCUGUGGGAGCAGGAGAAUUAGAAACAAGCUCUUUACGGAGGCUACCUGUGUCCUGCUGGGAGACCAGAGCAACUUCGAGGUGGAGGAGAGAAGCCUACUAGCUGUGCCUGGGAACUGCUCCUUGCCUUAGCCCCCACUUGUGUCCUCUAUGGGUCACUGCGGAGGUGAAGCCGAGACUUGUGGCUUCGUACUGAAGGAUGCAGGUGCCAAAUAUCAGCAAUACGUCUUCAUUGUAUGGGCCAAACAACAUUCCUGCUUCGUCAGCCUUCUGUAGGAUGGCACAGGGAUAAUACACAAUUGUUCCAGGUUCAGCCAACUGUGAUGCCUCAAGACAUAAAGCAUAUUCCCCUAAAGUAAUUUUGUUCUUUAUCCUUAAAGAACACAGCCAAACCCUCAAAACUACACAUUAACUUUAGUAGGACAACUGUAUUGCUAAUGCUUAACAGAUGCGAUUGAACCUUUUCUGUUAAAAUCCUCAGUUCCAGAAAUUUCCCUUGUUCUGACACUUUAAGAAGGUGAAAUUGUCCUUGAAAGGACAAAGUUCUUCCUUCCAGACUUGACAUAUUUUUCUAGAACCCUCCUACAUUGUACUUUGGUAUUUCAGUGUUGUGAAGUAUAGUAUCAGCUCAGUUCUGCAAAACUAUUGAGUUAUUGUACUGGUUAAUAAAGUGAAAUUUAUACAAGCUUAAUCACAUUUAUUAUUGCUGACAACAAUGCAGAUGUUCUGAAUGCUAAGUGAUUUUUUUAUAAAGAGUAUAAUUAAUUUUUCUGGCUCUUAGUGGUCAGUUCUGCCACUGAAAUGUAUUUAAUAAUAUGUAAAUCUGGGAUUUUGGGCAGCAAUUAAAAAUAAAGUUGCUGUAAUUUUA